CGACUCUGGUAUUGAUUGGUGCUUGCAUCAUGAUUUACAUUUGAGUGAGUGGCGAACUGGUGAGUAACACGUGGGAAACCUGCCCAGAAGCGGGGGAUAACACCUGGAAACAGAUGCUAAUACCGCAUAACAACUUGGACCGCAUGGUCCGAGUUUGAAAGAUGGCUUCGGCUAUCACUUUUGGAUGGUCCCGCGGCGUAUUAGCUAGAUGGUGGGGUAACGGCUCACCAUGGCAAUGAUACGUAGCCGACCUGAGAGGGUAAUCGGCCACAUUGGGACUGAGACACGGCCCAAACUCCUACGGGAGGCAGCAGUAGGGAAUCUUCCACAAUGGACGAAAGUCUGAUGGAGCAACGCCGCGUGAGUGAAGAAGGGUUUCGGCUCGUAAAACUCUGUUGUUAAAGAAGAACAUAUCUGAGAGUAACUGUUCAGGUAUUGACGGUAUUUAACCAGAAAGCCACGGCUAACUACGUGCCAGCAGCCGCGGUAAUACGUAGGUGGCAAGCGUUGUCCGGAUUUAUUGGGCGUAAAGCGAGCGCAGGCGGUUUUUUAAGUCUGAUGUGAAAGCCUUCGGCUCAACCGAAGAAGUGCAUCGGAAACUGGGAAACUUGAGUGCAGAAGAGGACAGUGGAACUCCAUGUGUAGCGGUGAAAUGCGUAGAUAUAUGGAAGAACACCAGUGGCGAAAGCGGCUGUCUGGUCUGUAACUGACGC
Molecule: ribosomal RNA, 713 nt
Filed under: Lactiplantibacillus plantarum
Lineage: Bacteria; Bacillati; Bacillota; Bacilli; Lactobacillales; Lactobacillaceae
Description: bacterial SSU rRNA
Rfam family: Bacterial small subunit ribosomal RNA
Source: RNAcentral